GGAUCUCACUACCUGGAUGGGUAAACUGAGGUUUAGAGAGCGAAGUGUGACCUGGGACUCCCUGGGCCCUCUUAAUAGGGUUGUGACCCUUCACUCCUUUGACCUCCUCCAUGAUUAUAAUAACUCGAGACAGCACAGCCAAACAGAUGUGCAUUCACCUUUACCACUAAUAGGCAGGAAGCUCUGCCUCCCUGGGCCUCAGUUUCCACAGAUAUACCAUGGGGUGCCGUAGGGAUUAGAAAGCACGUUUGCCAAGCUCCCAGCAUGAGGUUCAGCUCCCAGCAGGACUGUUCGCUUUUGUCCCAGGACCCUACCACGUCUGUGUGCAAGGCCAGUGCACUUGUCCGUACGGCGUGGGGACCUUUGUCGGGGAUCAGCCUCUGCCUGCAUGUACCACCCACCCAGCCACGCUCCGCUCCCCCCGCCCUCCGUCCAAUCUCAGGAAGUUCCACCUGACCACCCACCCAGUUGCCCAGGGACCAUUAAUUUUUCUAUGGACGAUCAAACCCAGAUAGAGUGGAAGGGCUACCGCACAGCUGAUCCCAAAACAGUAACCAAGGCGCCAGGGACAACAUCUGGGGGUCGACCAGGACAGGCAGUGGACACAACCGUGUUGGCCUUACGUGUACUGGGAAAGUUUUCUCCGGUGUAUGUCCCCGAGGGGCAAAGGGGUAGAAAUCCUCCGCACGGCAAACUGGCACAAUGCAAGAAAAACCGGUCACAUGUAGAACCCUAUCCUAAGGAAGGCUGCAGGGUCAUGUCAAGGCCCCAAGAAACAGAGACCCCACAGUCUCUAGUUCAAGUUCUGACAUGGCUACCUCAUCUUGAACUGAUUCCUCUAUUUACCGGGCCUCAGUUUUUCUACCCGGGAAAUGGGGACUGUGAUUGACACUCUGGAUUGCCACUGUGAGGUUCAAAGACUAGUACGGUGUUUUCCCCAGCGUCAACGCACAUCACCACAGCGAACAGGAUGAUGUGGGUCACACUCCGCUAAACAGCCCGAACCAACAUGGGUCGUGCAAUGAGAAAGCAAUUCUCUGCUCAUUUUUCUUUUCAUCCUUUGCCGACUUGCCAAGGAAAGUCUCAGACAAGCGGUAGGUAGUGUGGGUUCAGUACCAACUUGCUCAACUCCUUUUUAACAGGAGCCUGACAGGCAGGCAAUGCGAGCCAGCGCACAUUUAAUGCGUUUGUUUUAUUUUUGAGGUAUUUUAUCGAUACUGAUUGUUCUCAAAGCAAAAGAAAAAUGUGAGUGGAUUUCAAAUAUUGAGCAAAUAACAGUACAGGAGAUGCUUGAAUUGGGCCCAAAAUCACGUGGUUGGAGUGGCUGGGGCUGGGGAAAUACUGCGGUAGUGUGGAUGGAAAU
This 1363-nucleotide long non-coding RNA is filed under the name Felis catus (domestic cat). RNAcentral's name for it is "lncRNA (ENSFCAG00000041940.2)". Lineage: Eukaryota; Metazoa; Chordata; Mammalia; Carnivora; Felidae. The record is from RNAcentral.